Non-coding RNA from Triticum urartu, 2130 nucleotides. Lineage: Eukaryota; Viridiplantae; Streptophyta; Magnoliopsida; Poales; Poaceae. The record is from RefSeq and is a predicted model, not a curated record.
ACUCAAAAAUCUCCAUAGCAGGCAUUGGUCUAUUGGGCAAAGUCAAUUGCAUAACCACUUAACUCAUAACCACUUGCAAGCUUACUGCAACUUUCUUUUAGUUCAUAACGGUCCAAUAACUUAAAGGCCGUUGAACUCAUUAAAAAUCCAAAUAUAUUUUUGAAUCAUUGGAGUUCUUCAAAUAUGCUUUUCAGUGAAUUGGUUGCCACAUCAACCAUAACAAAACAAGAAAAAAAAAACUUCAAAAGCCUUCUGAGCUUGCAAGAUUGCUUCAUCGCAGUCAGUUUAAUCAAAUUGCCUCUUCCUAGGUGCACGGCGUUUUACUAGAAAUGAUGACUCUACACCCGUUUUAGAUGCGAUUUCUUUGGCAAUGAUCACACCAGAAGCAAACCCUUCAUUUCUGUAAGUGCCAAAGUAAUUCCUCAUACCUUCUAUUUGUGUUAAGGCAGACUCAAUGCACAUGGAUAGUGAUUGCAACUUCCUGCUCACUAUAGCUACAACAAAUAGAAUAUCAUUCCAAAUGACCCUAGCCUUGGGUUUGGUACCACUAUCUUCACUUAACUCAAGCAAAGCUCCAAAGAAAUCACAUCUAAAUGGGCGUAGAGCUAUAAUUUCCAGUAAAACAUCGUGCUCCUAGGAAGUGGCAAUUUGAUGAAAGUGACUGCAAUGAAGCAAUCUUGCAAGCCGACAUGGCUUUUGAAGCUAAAUAUUGUUUGGUUAUGGUUGAUGUGGCAACCAAUUCAUUGAAUAACAGAUUUAAAGAACUCCAAUCAUUCAAAAAGUAUAUUUGGAUUUUUAAUGAAUUCAAUGGCCUCGAAGUUAGUGGACUGUUAUGAACUAAAAGACAAUUGCGCUAAAUUUGCAAGUUAUUUCUCUUCAGAUGAUUCAUCUAAUGUUGGGUUAAAGGAUCUAAUUUUUGAGUUAAGUGUUAUGCACUUGACUUUGUUCAAUAGACCAAUGUCUGCGAUGUGGAUUUUUGAGUUUGUCAGAGAAGCAGAUUGUUAUCCUAAUAUUUCUAUUGCCUAUUGGAUUUUAUUUACUAUGACUGACUGUAGCAUCAGCUGAAAGAAGCUUUUGAAAGUUGAAAUUGUUGAAAAACUACCUGAGAUCUGCAAUGUUAAAUGGCUUGGUAACUUAAUGCACUGAGAAGAAAUUAUUAGAUGAGAUUGAUAUUGAUACUAUAUUAGUUGCAUCUUGGAAUUUUAGAAGAAAAUUUCGAGUUAAUAUGUGUAAAUUUCUUUGUAUGAUUUUGGAUGCACCUAUUUUUUGGGGGUAAAAAAUCAUGUCUACUAAGGGCCCCGGAUUGUAGUUUCCCCCGGGCCCCUGAAAUCUCAGGACCGGCUCUGAGCGCGUACUGCAGCAAGACGCGCCCUCCGGUGAUGCGAGGGGAGGGGGCGAGAAAGGUGGUGGUGGUGUGGACUGUGGAGGCGCUAGGGUUCCAACUUGCCUGAUGUAUUUCAAUCGUUUUCUCUGACUAAUCUUUGAUGCUUUUACUAUAAUGGAAUCACACCCAUACUGUAAUAGUGUGCUAUCCUGCUACUAGGAAAUCAUGCAAAUAAUCCUUUACUUAUUGGUUGCUGUAGAUUGGUCCACUUAAUGUUGAUAGGUUGGAUUUCAGUGAUCAUCAUUUCUUCAAUGAUUAUGACCUAGAAUUAAUCCAAGAAAGAGUGAGGCAGCUUGUGGAUCAACAUAACAAAGAGACCGUAGUCUUAGUUACUGAGAAGGAUUACGACCGUGAUCCAGAUGUCCUUAGAAUGUUGGGCGUGAAGGUUUGGGUUCUGUCUUCUUCUUUGCAAAUUAUGGCCCUCAAGGAACAAGGAGAAGAUGAAUUGCUGAGGAAAUUAAAAGACAUUAUCACAGCAACUAGGCAUGUGGUCCAGCCAUGAGUUGCUGAUGGAUCUGGUUAUAUUCGGCUGGGCAUAUCUUGAAGCAAAAACAGUUUUCCAUUGGUCCUGUUAAUUCCGUAUAAUGUUAUAUCAGAUUUAUCUGGUUAAUUCAAAUCCUGUUUUGGCGUUUUGGAACAUGCAGUAUUUUAGUUUUUUUUUCCAACUGGGUCAGUGGUCUGAGCCUCCAGUUAACUUGAACUGGAUCUAACAAGAUAAUGAGGAGGGGAUUCCCGUCUAUUGCUCA